CAGAAAUAUUGAACCAAAACGGGAGUUGGGCCGAGCUUUUCCUAUUUUGCAUAUCCAUUGUAUUUGCGCGCAUUUGAUUGGUUCCCGAAAUCCACAAAUCACGGGUCUUAGACCCGUGAAAAAAUGGCGGCUAGACGAGAGAAGGGUUUUUAUCGUACGCUUAAUUCGAUCUCUUCCGUUGAUCUUUUUUGCGAUCGACCUUUGAAACGAAUUCAAGGUAAAGGUCGGCUUUGGGAAGUUGACCGGCUUGUCUUAGAGCGCAAGACCACAGAAGGCAAGCAUGAAUACCUCGUUUUAUGGAAGGGCUUCUCUCCCUACGAUGCAACAUGGGAACCUGUCGAAAACAUGACGUCCGAGUUUGUCCGGUACGUCAGAAGAUUCAGAAGCUCAACUCUACUGGGAUGCGGACCUACUAUUUACCACUAGGGCUUUUUUCACCUAUUAGUUUCCAAAUUUAAAAAAAAUUGAGAC
This is a long non-coding RNA of Nematostella vectensis (starlet sea anemone), 471 nucleotides long. RefSeq lists it as uncharacterized. The transcript has 2 exons. NCBI's taxonomy places the organism in Eukaryota, Metazoa, Cnidaria, Anthozoa, Actiniaria, Edwardsiidae. The record is from RefSeq and is a predicted model, not a curated record.